GAACAUUUGGGAUGUUGUAAGUAUUUAAGUGAACAAAAUACAUAACACUGGCCUAGUGGUUUUUGGAUAUUUUACUGCAAAAAUAUUACAUAUUGUACCUUAACGCGGUGCGUGAUGACAUUGCUCGCGUUCCGUUUAAAGAGUUUUGGCCCCGUCAGCCUUCCAUACAAUAUGUGAACACGCAAACUUUCGCGUGAUUCGUUACUGUUUUGUACAAUUAAGUACACGUUUUAUCGCGCCAUUGCUUUUUUGCUACCGACUCUUUUUUUGUAUGCUCACCGUUGGCAGAUUUUAAAGUGGUUUGAGAGCGCAUGUGUUGGAGUAAAGCCAAGAUGCCAAACAACUGAGAGACGACAGAAAAUUAAACAUAUUUUGAAGAAGGAGGCAGCGAAAGGGACAGUUUCUCUAUCAGCAUGGAUAAAAAAGUAGGCAAAAAUGACCAGCCAGAGAUGCAUGUUGCGGAGGAGGAGAGAGAAGAGGAUGAAUGUGAUAUGGGUCAAGGAGUUGAAAAGAAAGCACCAGAUACAGACUUUGAUGAAGAAAACAACACAGAAUAUGUAUGUCUAUUACAUCAUAAAUAUCCAACAAAUGUUUAAACAAACUUUACAUUUAAGCAUUCAUCUUUCUACUCAUUUUUUUUUUCUUUUUGUUGUAAUUACUAUAUUCUAUUCAUUGAAAAAAUAAGUCUAUUUCAGUAGUCUCGUAUUCAUUAAAGGGGGGGUCUAAUGCUU
Molecule: long non-coding RNA, 731 nt
Organism: Megalobrama amblycephala (Wuchang bream)
Lineage: Eukaryota; Metazoa; Chordata; Actinopteri; Cypriniformes; Xenocyprididae
Exons: 3
Source: RefSeq, a predicted model, not a curated record